RNAcentral lists this ribosomal RNA (1449 nucleotides) under Triticum aestivum (bread wheat). Its description in RNAcentral is "partial small subunit ribosomal RNA". The record is from RNAcentral. Lineage: Eukaryota; Viridiplantae; Streptophyta; Magnoliopsida; Poales; Poaceae.
AUGGUUGAUUUUGAAGAAGAUGAGGUUGAUGAAGAAGAUGUUGACUAUGAAGAAGAAGAGGAAGGAGAAGAAAAUGAGGAUGAUGAAGAAGAAGAUGAUGAUGAAGAAGAAGAACAAGAGGGAGAUAAUGUGGAUGAAGAGGGAGAGGUUGAGAUCAUUGACAUGGGAAAAUUUUUUGAACCGGGAAGAAAGUUUUUGUCUAAAGUGUGGAAAGAAUAUGAGCCAAUCCGUGUUGAUGACAUAGUUGUAGCUGUUGAGUGCAAACACUGUGCAAGGAAUAUUUGUGCUGAGCGUAAACAUGGAACAAGUUCAUUGCGCAAACAUUUGAAGAGAUGCAGGGAAAGGAAGAAGGUUCUUAGAGUUUCUGGACAACUGAGUGCUUCUAUCGUGAGUCCCGAUGGAGUUGCAAUGGGGCUUUGGACCUUUAAUCAGGCAUUAGCACGCCGAGAGCUGAUGAGGAUGAUAGUGUUGCAUGAAUUGGCAUUCUCAUUGGUGGAGUAUGAUGGAUUUAGAAGAUUUGUCUCUAGUCUAAAUCCCAGCUUCAAGAUGAUAUGUAGAAAAACAGUGAAGGAGGACUGCAUGAAAGCAUUCAAGGAAGAGAAGAGAAUUCUGCAAAGGAUGUUCCAAAACUCCAAAUCCAAGAUUUCUUUGACCACAGACCUGUGGACAUCAAAUCAGACAGUGGGGUACAUUUGCAUCACAACUCACUUCAUUGAUGAGGAGUGGAAGCAGCAGAAGAGGAUAGUUAAAUUUGCCGCUAUGGAGACGCCGCACACAGGAGCUGCAAUGUUCAACAUCAUGGUGAAUUUCAUAAGAGAGUGGAACAUUGAAGAUAAUCUCUUUGCUGUGACGCUAGACAAUGCAUCGAAUAAUGGUGCAAUGAUGAAGCUAUUGAAGGCACAUCUCCUGCUUAAGAAGAUGUUACCUGGUGGUGGCAAGUUGUUUCACCAACGUUGUGCCGCCCAUGUCAUAAAUCUGAUAUGUCAAGCAGGAUUGAACUUCCUUGGUACAGUGAUCAACAUGAUAUGUGAAACUGUGAAAUACAUUCGAAGCUCACCAAGUCGAAAGGAAAAACUUCAAGAAAUCGUUGAGCAACAUGGUGUAUCAUGUGGGAGAACUCCAAGUCUUGAUGUUCCAACUCGCUGGAACUCAACCUACAUGAUGAUUGAUAUAGCAAAAGAGUAUCGCGGAGUGUUUGACUCUUUGGCCAUUCAAGAUAAACAAUAUACCUUCAAGCCAUCUUUUGAGGAUUGGGAAAAUGCCGAAUAUGUUUGCAGGCUACUAAAGCUAACCUUAGAGCAACAACAUUAUGAAGAGGAUUCUGAGAUGGGCACAACGGUCAAAUAUAUGAAGAGAAAAUUCAGAAGAUAUUGGAAGAUGACAUGGUUGAGCCUUUUUAUUCCAGUGAUUUUGGACCCACAAUUCAAGUUAAAAUAUAUUGAGUUCUGA